This 525-nucleotide ribosomal RNA is filed under the name Bifidobacterium pseudocatenulatum. Its description in RNAcentral is "bacterial SSU rRNA". It matches the Rfam family "Bacterial small subunit ribosomal RNA", at positions 167 to 703 of the family's 1533-position model. The record is from RNAcentral. Lineage: Bacteria; Bacillati; Actinomycetota; Actinomycetes; Bifidobacteriales; Bifidobacteriaceae.
UGCCGGAUGCUCCGACUCCUCGCAUGGGGUGUCGGGAAAGAUUUCAUCGGUAUGGGAUGGGGUCGCGUCCUAUCAGGUAGUCGGCGGGGUAACGGCCCACCGAGCCUACGACGGGUAGCCGGCCUGAGAGGGCGACCGGCCACAUUGGGACUGAGAUACGGCCCAGACUCCUACGGGAGGCAGCAGUGGGGAAUAUUGCACAAUGGGCGCAAGCCUGAUGCAGCGACGCCGCGUGCGGGAUGACGGCCUUCGGGUUGUAAACCGCUUUUGAUCGGGAGCAAGCCUUCGGGUGAGUGUACCUUUCGAAUAAGCACCGGCUAACUACGUGCCAGCAGCCGCGGUAAUACGUAGGGUGCAAGCGUUAUCCGGAAUUAUUGGGCGUAAAGGGCUCGUAGGCGGUUCGUCGCGUCCGGGUGUGAAAGUCCAUCGCUUAACGGUGGAUCUGCGCCGGGUACGGGCGGGCUGGAGUGCGGUAGGGGAGACUGGAAUUCCCGGUGUAACGGUGGAAUGUGUAGAUAUCGGAAA